RNA transcript from Tribolium castaneum (red flour beetle), 3543 nucleotides. RefSeq lists it as uncharacterized. The record is from RefSeq and is a predicted model, not a curated record. The transcript has 8 exons. NCBI's taxonomy places the organism in Eukaryota, Metazoa, Arthropoda, Insecta, Coleoptera, Tenebrionidae.
AUCCUUGAAAAAUUUUGAUUUCGAUCCGGUACCCAAACAAAAUAACGGUUUUCAGUUCUUAUCGGCGUCGCUGUAUGCGACAUGUGUAGUGAAACUGGCAGCAAUGAAAAAUCUGGAUUUUUCCUUCCUGUUCAGUUUUUUUUGUACAUGUGAAGUUUUAGGUGAGAAGAUUUUCAAGUUUGUUCCUUUUCUUACUUGUACUGAAGCUUGGAAAUGUAGGAGUCGGUUUUACUUACCCCUCCUAAUUUUGGAUAUCUAUACGAAUAUAAAAAUUGCACACCGUGCACUGUUUGGACCAGUAAAGUAUUUUGGGGAAGAACUUUUUGGAAAAUCUGUUACAUUAUUUAUUCGCCUGCAAUCAAAUAUAUGCAAGCACAUUAAAUUAGAAAAUGUUUUAAUUUGGUUUCUUUUGAACAUUUUAGGUGGAUCAUUUAAUGGAAAUUUCCUAACCAAAUAUUUCGAUGAAGGAUCACCACUAAUCACGGAACAAGUUGGGCACUCUUUUGAAAACAAGUGUUUUUUAUAUCCACGUUACACAGCCUUGGAAUCUGAAUUCAACGACACUGAAGAAAAUGUUUAUGUUAAAUCAGAAAACAUCUCCGAGACAACUUUUCUCCUUUACGAAUUACAAUUUCCAGCCUUUCCGAAUUACAAGAUCAACAUUUUUAACUCCACGAUGACGAUUAAAAAAUGUGACAAAGAUGACUCUUGUAAACUGUUACGAGAGUGCACUGACGCAUUUAUUGAAAGCGACGCCAACCACCCACCAUUAUCUGACGAUAUUGUGUAUCUUUCUUGGAAAAAAAAACUUUCGGGGUUAUUUCUUCUGGUUCAAUAUAAAGAAAAAAUAAAAAGAUGUAGUGACUUCAAUAAGCCUUUGAACAUCCACAGAGUAGUUUUGCAAAGCAAUAAGAAACUACAAUUUGCUUAUACAAAACAUAGCGUGAUGACGGCAACUGGCGAAAACCAAGAAAUACUUCCAGUAAAUGUUAGCUUGGGACCAGAUGAAUCAGUAUAUGUACGAAUUUCGCAAUGUUCUAUUUGUUCAAUGACAUUGCGGUUAAAAUGUGGUCUUGAUGAUAUCGACAAUAAAAUAGCACGAUCUGAUAAUGGACCUCGUUUGUUGUUUGCAAAUAGCUUUUUUAUCUACGGAUGGCAGGAAAUUGAAAUGUCACCGAAGAAACGAAAUCAAAGAAACAACUGUAAGUUACAAAUGUUUGGAAGUUAUAAUAACACCGAGUUGUUACCAUCUGAAGUUACUAAAUUCUGGAGAGCAACAUAUCGUUUAGCCAAAGGAACUUCGCCACCACCACCACCAACAACAACAACAACACUAACAACAACAACAGCUGAAUCAACUCAAACCAGAAAAAGUUCAACAGUCACAUUAGUGACAGACGCUUUUCUGUUGCCGUCAGACACGACCACAUCAAGAAAUACAUGUAUUACAAAAGAAAGCUCAUGUUGGAUCAGCAUUACGUUAGCAUGCAUUUUUGGCUUCGUGGCUUUAAUUUUAUCUAUUGCUACUGGCGUUCUCCUCAAAAAAUAAUUCGUGGACUUCAGCCUAAGGUCUCGAGGUUAGAAAAAGAAAGAAAUUAAUAAAAAAGUAGUUUUUGCUUAAAAUGUUUAAUCUGUGAGUUACAAAAUAACGUAAAAUGUAUUCGUUUUCAGUACCUUUUCAAAUGAAUGUAUAAAUCGGAAAACAAACAUAAAAACUCUUGAGUGCCGGAGUUAGGAAAAGUAAUUUUUUUAUUAUAGGCGUGGGAUUUUUAUCGAUGCGAAGUCUAGACUAGAAUGGAAAAAUGAUUAUGUUCUUUUUAUUUUUUAUCUUAGUUGAGAAAAAUUAAAUUUUACUUGCUUACUAGUUAUUAGUUAUUCGUUGUAGGUAUACCGCAUUUUUUUAACUUACAAAUAGUUAACAAACAAUGUUCAAACACAUACUACAGCAAAAACAACACGGCUGUUGGAAAAUAUACAGGGUCUCUCAAAAUUGGCGGAUUCCGAACUCAGAGCAUUGUAGAGAAUUACUUCAGUAUUCAAAUAUAGAAAAAAAACGAAAGAUAAGAAAACUUAAUUCAAACAGUGACCUUCGAACCAAUGUAUCAUUUUUUUUUCCAAAUUUUUUUUUCCUACAUUUGGAGUUUUAAAGUGAUUGUGUACAAUGCUCUGAACUCGGAAUUCGCCAAUUUUGAGACACCCUGUAUAGACACGUAGUUGAUCGAUCAAAAAAAUUAUAUGUUAAACAUGCUUUUGAAGUUAAAUAAAUAUAGAGUUAGAUAAAGAUGCACCCAUUUAGAAUUUCUGUGGUAUGUGUGUUUAGUAUAAAGGCUUAAAUAAGUGUGAUAUCGCUGAUGUGUUUUGUUUGGAAGAUUGGUAUUUAGAUUAUGCAGUCAUUAAUUAUUAUUCAAAUCAAAGAUGUUUAUUUAAUUUUUGACCAAUAUUUUUCACGUUUUUUAUGUUUUUUCAAUUUAAUGUAAAAUGUGUUCUUCAACAUCUGCGUUAUAAAUAAUAAAUAAUUGCAGCAACAAAUGCUGAAAAAUUAUGAACCGUUACCAAACACAAUAAAUACAAACUUCACAGAAGACUGUUUGACAAUAUUGAACAUGUAAUGGUCUUCAAGAUUUUAAUACGUAAUCUUUUGAAUUGGUUUGAGGCAGGAAAUAGUUACGGAGGUAGAUACAAAAAAAGCGAAAUUAUGGCAUUAAAAUUAAUGUUUAAUUUUUAUCAAAACAACUAAUUUGGCAAAAAAAUGAUUUACCUACUAUUUUACGAAAACAGAGUUUUGCAUACCUAUUGCUAUCAGUUCGUCAAAAAAUGCGUAAUCUAACUAUGUUCCUGCAUCAACCAACAAUUGCGGUAUCACCUUAUAAUAAACAACCAUUAGAUUAGAAAUAGGAUGGAGUUUAUCUGCGCCUAUAACGCACUUCUAAUUAUUUUGACAGUUGUUUAAGAAUGUAAGUAAUUUUGAUUUUUAUGAAAAAAUGUUAAUGAUACGAACAAAUAGUCGCAGAUAAAACUUUGUCUUAUGUACUUGCACAUGUUUGUUCUUUUACGCAUAUUUGCUUUGCUUGUUAGGUGCUUGAUAGUUCAUGAUUUACUGGGGAAAAUGGUACAAAUUCUGGAAAGUCUGGACUUUUCAUGAAACGCUGUAGACAUUUCAUGAAAUAAUUUCGCCAAGUGGCUGCGACAUAUAUAUCAAAUAAUUUGUGUUUAUUUUAAAUAACUACUAUAUUAGAGAAAUUAAAAUUUGCAUUUGAAGAUGUAAGCUGAUACCACAUUUCUCCACUAGCUAAAUCUGUAGGUAGUAAAAAUAUGAUCACAUGCAUUCGAUGUGAUUUGGGCAUGACAUUCAUUUACGUCAAAUUAAUUAGGAUUUUAUCUAAAUUUUUACUAAAGAUGUGGAAUUUAUUAAAAUUAUAUUUUUUAGUAAAAAAUAGCUUUUUGGCAUUUUUUUACAGUUGUCUACCCAAAUCAAAUUUAAACAAGUUUGCAUGCCCUUACAUAUUUAAUAUUAUAUUAUUAUAUAAACAUUAUUUGCAUCAA